RNAcentral lists this non-coding RNA (26 nucleotides) under Homo sapiens (human). Lineage: Eukaryota; Metazoa; Chordata; Mammalia; Primates; Hominidae. The record is from RNAcentral.
UGGAGUCGGGACCCGGGAGGAAUGGA